RNA transcript from Brachypodium distachyon (stiff brome), 1831 nucleotides. It is a transcript of the gene named protein POLAR LOCALIZATION DURING ASYMMETRIC DIVISION AND REDISTRIBUTION, with no coding region annotated. NCBI's taxonomy places the organism in Eukaryota, Viridiplantae, Streptophyta, Magnoliopsida, Poales, Poaceae. The record is from RefSeq and is a predicted model, not a curated record. The transcript is spliced from 4 exons.
AUCAUCAAACCCAUGUAGUACUGAAUCAUCGAUCGACCGAUCCUCCAAACAUUGCUCGAGUCGAUCCCCUCCAAUUCCGCACAUCAUCCAUCGUCACCAAUGGCGACCGAGAGCAGCACGCUGCCGCUGCCCCCGCGCCUGUCGGCCUCGCCGGCUUCCUCGCCCGCCACCGUGGGCGCCUUCCUCACCAAGACCGGCGGCGCCCCGCGCGAUGCGUGCCGCUCCCCGCGGUCGCUGCUCUCGCGCAUCCUCGGCAGGGGUGGCGGCGGGUUCGGAUGCCGCUUCCGCCUCCCGCGGUACUGCUCCGGAGGCGCAUCUGGGAAGGAAUACGCCGGAGAGGAAGACGAGGCGGGUUGGACGCGCGCGCCUCAACCUCAGGUGGUCGGCGGGCACGCGGCCGAGGCUCGCGAGUCGCCGCCGCGAAGCUCUUUCGGGAAGAAGGCGGCGGCGGCGGCGAGCCUUGGGCUGGGCGCGGGGCUGGUGCUGCUGCUAUCCAAGGGCGCGGCGGAGCUGAGCAGGAUGGAGGAGCUGCGCGCCCAGAUGGAGCGCCUCGUGCUCGACGCCAAGGUGGCCGCGCGCCGGGGCGGCAGCAGCAGCAAUGACGCAGACGAAAGCGCGAGCGUCGUCAUAGAGCCGACCGUCUUCGCCGGCGCCGGGGAAGAGGACGCCUCGUCCCACUGUUCGCGCACUGCCGCCGCCGCCAUGGAUCAGAUGGAAGCGGAGCUCGAGGCGGAGCUGACGCGCCUGCAGCUCGCCUCCAACGAAGACGACGAGGAAUGCGCAACGCCUCGGCAAGAUCAUCAACUGCUCGACGCCGAGGCGGAGAGCGAAGUGGCCUCGGAGAACCAAUCCCCCGCUUGCGUCCUCCAGAACGGCAGCGCGAUCAUCGACGACGGGGCAGCAAGGUCAGAGCACGGUCGCGAGGAAGACGAAGACAACGAGGCGGAGGAGGAGGAAGAGAGGGUGGCAUGCCACACGGGCGUGCCGGCACGGGAGCUGGAGAGGAGGCUGCACGAGCUCCUGCAGUCGCGGCACGAGGAGCGGAUCGCGGAGCUGGAGUCGGAGCUGGAGCGCGCGCGGAGGAAGCUCAGGGAGAAGGAGCGCGAGGUGUCCCGGUGGCGCGACACCGCCAAGCUCGUCUCCCGCCGCGAGGACGAGUCCCGGCUCAGGUAGAAUUAGAAAAAGAAGAAGCUUAAGCUGGUACUAGUAGAAUUAUCCAACCUGCACGGACUCGUGCAAAUCGAUCCUUGGAACUUCUCCUCCUCCAUUGCAGCCACCAUCCGCCAUGUACUCGAUCUCCUGCAUGCUUGACGCAUCUCCGCGAAAGGAAGACGAAACAUUUCACCUCCGGUGACAAACCUCACCUCUCAGCACAGCUUACCUGUUAGUAUGGUUUGUGGAUGUUUCUCCUUCCCGCCUAUCAUCCGGAAAACCCAUUUAAUUCUCUUCCUUCUCAUCCCGCAUAAGGACGCCACCAAAAAUGAUGCUUUGGAAAUGGUUAUUGACACCAACAAAUAACGCGAAAGGCAUGUCGUACAGGUUCGUUCGGCAUGUGGUGUCAAAUGUGAUUACAUCCCCGAAGCAUACAUAUUUCUCGCAACAUCUACCAGAUUUCCACGUCAAGGUCUUAAUUCGGCUGUCGUCGUCUAUUUGGACAGUGUACUUGAAGUCAGGAUCAGCGUCGAGCAUCUUGCUAAACACCUCUAUCGUCUUCACAACAUCGUUGUCUGAAUUUUCACGACUAAUUUCCCCACAUAGCGUCCUUAGUGUGGAAUGUUCUCCAUGCUACCAAAAAAACUAUCAAUAAUGUUGUAUGCUUUCCCCAAACUAA